AGCGAACGCUGGCGGCGUGCCUAACACAUGCAAGUCGAACGUGAAAAGGGAAACCUGAGUAAAGUGGCGUACGGGUGAGUAACGCGUAGGUAAUCUACCCCAGAAUCUGGAAUAACCUGCCGAAAGGCGGGCUAAUACUGGAUAGAGCGAGGGAACUCGUAAGAGAGUUUUUCGGGAAAGGGAGCCCGCAAGGGCCUUCGUUCUGGGAUGAGCCUGCGUCUCAUUAGCUAGUUGGUAAGGUAACGGCUUACCAAGGCGAUGAUGAGUAGCUGGUCUGAGAGGAUGAUCAGCCAAACUGGAACUGAAACACGGUCCAGACUCCUACGGGAGGCAGCAGUGGGGAAUCUUGCGCAAUGGACGAAAGUCUGACGCAGCCACGCCGCGUGAGUGAAGAAGGCCUUCGGGUUGUAAAGCUCUGUCGGAUGGGACGAACAUCUUCAUAGUGAAUAGCUAUGAGGACUGACGGUACCAUCAAAGGAAGCACCGGCUAACUCCGUG
RNAcentral lists this ribosomal RNA (498 nucleotides) under uncultured bacterium. Its description in RNAcentral is "partial 16S ribosomal RNA". It matches the Rfam family "Bacterial small subunit ribosomal RNA", at positions 29 to 507 of the family's 1533-position model. The record is from RNAcentral.